Molecule: long non-coding RNA, 3303 nt
Organism: Oncorhynchus kisutch (coho salmon)
Lineage: Eukaryota; Metazoa; Chordata; Actinopteri; Salmoniformes; Salmonidae
Source: Ensembl
UGUCAAACAAGCUGUUCUAUUCCUCUCACACCUUCUCUGCUGUCUCUCUCAUACCCUCUGUGCUAUUCCUCUCACACCUUCUCUGCUGUCUCUCUCAUACCCUCUGUGCUAUUCCUCUCACACCUUCUCUGCUGUCUCUCAUACCCUCUGUGCUAUUCCUCUCACACCUUCUCUGCUGUCUCUCUCAUACCCUCUGUGCUAUUCCUCUCACACCUUCUCUGCUGUCUCUCAUACCCUCUGUGCUAUUCCUCUCACACCUUCUCUGCUGUCUCUCAUACCCUCUGUGCUAUUCCUCUCACACCUUCUCUGCUGUCUCUCUCACACCUUCUCUGCUGUCUCUCUCAUACCCUCUGUGCUAUUCCUCUCACACCUUCUCUGCUGUCUCUCUCAUACCCUCUGUGCUAUUCCUCUCACACCUUCUCUGCUGUCUCUCUCAUACCCUCUGUGCUAUUCCUCUCACACCUUCUCUGCUGUCUCUCUCAUACCCUCUGUGCUAUUCCUCUCACACCUUCUCUGCUGUCUCUCUCAUACCCUCUGUGCUAUUCCUCUCACACCUUCUCUGCUGUCUCUCUCAUACCCUCUGUGCUAUUCCUCUCACACCUUCUCUGCUGUCUCUCUCAUACCCUCUGUGCUAUUCCUCUCACACCUUCUCUGCUGUCUCUCUCAUACCCUCUGUGCUAUUCCUCUCACACCUUCUCUGCUGUCUCUCUCAUACCCUCUGUGCUAUUCCUCUCACACCUUCUCUGCUGUCUCUCUCAUACCCUCUGUGCUAUUCCUCUCACACCUUCUCUGCUGUCUCUCAUACCCUCUGUGCUAUUCCUCUCACACCUUCUCUGCUGUCUCUCUCAUACCCUCUGUGCUAUUCCUGUCACACCUUCUCUGCUGUCUCUCUCAUACCCUCUGUGCUAUUCCUCUCACACCUUCUCUGCUGUCUCUCUCAUACCCUCUGUGCUAUUCCUCUCACACCUUCUCUGCUGUCUCUCUCAUACCCUCUGUGCUAUUCCUCUCACACCUUCUCUGCUGUCUCUCAUACCCUCUGUGCUAUUCCUCUCACACCUUCUCUGCUGUCUCUCUCAUACCCUCUGUGCUAUUCCUGUCACACCUUCUCUGCUGUCUCUCUCAUACCCUCUGUGCUAUUCCUCUCACACCUUCUCUGCUGUCUCUCUCAUACCCUCUGUGCUAUUCCUCUCACACCUUCUCUGCUGUCUCUCUCAUACCCUCUGUGCUAUUCCUCUCACACCUUCUCUGCUGUCUCUCAUACCCUCUGUGCUAUUCCUGUCACACCUUCUCUGCUGUCUCUCUCAUACCCUCUGUGCUAUUCCUGUCACACCUUCUCUGCUGUCUCUCUCAUACCCUCUGUGCUAUUCCUGUCACACCUUCUCUGCUGUCUCUCUCAUACCCUCUGUGCUAUUCCUGUCACACCUUCUCUGCUGUCUCUCUCAUACCCUCUGUGCUAUUCCUCUCACACCUUCUCUGCUGUCUCUCAUACCCUCUGUGCUAUUCCUCUCACACCUUCUCUGCUGUCUCUCAUACCCUCUGUGCUAUUCCUCUCACACCUUCUCUGCUGUCUCUCACACCUUCUCUGCUGUCUCUCAUACCCUCUGUGCUAUCCCUCUCACACCUUCUCUGCUGUCUCUCUCAUACCCUCUGUGCUAUUCCUCUCACACCUUCUCUGCUGUCUCUCUCAUACCCUCUGUGCUAUUCCUCUCACACCUUCUCUGCUGUCUCUCUCAUACCCUCUGUGCUAUUCCUCUCACACCUUCUCUGCUGUCUCUCUCAUACCCUCUGUGCUAUUCCUCUCACACCUUCUCUGCUGUCUCUCUCAUACCCUCUGUGCUAUUCCUCUCACACCUUCUCUGCUGUCUCUCUCAUACCCUCUGUGCUAUUCCUCUCACACCUUCUCUGCUGUCUCUCUCAUACCCUCUGUGCUAUUCCUCUCACACCUUCUCUGCUGUCUCUCUCAUACCCUCUGUGCUAUUCCUCUCACACCUUCUCUGCUGUCUCUCUCAUACCCUCUGUGCUAUUCCUCUCACACCUUCUCUGCUGUCUCUCUCAUACCCUCUGUGCUAUUCCUCUCACACCUUCUCUGCUGUCUCUCUCAUACCCUCUGUGCUAUUCCUCUCACACCUUCUCUGCUGUCUCUCUCAUACCCUCUGUGCUAUUCCUCUCACACCUUCUCUGCUGUCUCUCUCAUACCCUCUGUGCUAUUCCUCUCACACCUUCUCUGCUGUCUCUCUCAUACCCUCUGUGCUAUUCCUCUCACACCUUCUCUGCUGUCUCUCUCAUACCCUCUGUGCUAUUCCUCUCACACCUUCUCUGCUGUCUCUCUCAUACCCUCUGUGCUAUUCCUCUCACACCUUCUCUGCUGUCUCUCUCAUACCCUCUGUGCUAUUCCUCUCACACCUUCUCUGCUGUCUCUCUCAUACCCUCUGUGCUAUUCCUCUCACACCUUCUCUGCUGUCUCUCUCAUACCCUCUGUGCUAUUCCUCUCACACCUUCUCUGCUGUCUCUCUCAUACCCUCUGUGCUAUUCCUCUCACACCUUCUCUGCUGUCUCUCUCAUACCCUCUGUGCUAUUCCUCUCACACCUUCUGCUGUCUCUCUCAUACCCUCUGUGCUAUUCCUCUCACACCUUCUCUGCUGUCUCUCUCAUACCCUUUGUGCUAUUCCUCUCACACCUUCUCUGCUGUCUCUCUCAUACCCUCUGUGCUAUUCCUCUCACACCUUCUCUGCUGUCUCUCUCAUACCCUCUGUGCUAUUCCUCUCACACCUUCUCUGCUGUCUCUCAUACCCUCUGUGCUAUUCCUCUCACACCUUCUCUGCUGUCUCUCUCAUACCCUCUGUGCUAUUCCUCUCACACCUUCUCUGCUGUCUCUCUCAUACCCUCUGUGCUAUUCCUCAAACACCUUCUCUGCUGUCUCUCUCAUACCCUCUGUGCUAUUCCUCUCACACCUUCUCUGCUGUCUCUCUCAUACCCUCUGUGCUAUUCCUCUCACACCUUCUCUUCUGUCUCUCUCAUACCCUCUGUGCUAUUCCUCUCACACCUUCUCUUCUGUCUCUCUCAUACCCUCUGUGCUAUUCCUCUCACACCUUCUCUGCUGUCUCUCUCAUACCCUCUGUGCUAUUCCUCUCGUACCUUCUGAUCUGUCCCUCUCUCAUACCCACUGUGCUGUGUCCCUGUCGUUGUGACCCUGAGCAAGGCAGUUCCCCGGGCGCCGAAGAUGUGGAUGCCGAUUUAAGGCAGCCCUCUGCACCUCUGAUUCAGAGGGGUUGGGUUAAAUGCGGAAGGCACGUUAACAGUUGA